Uranotaenia lowii is the source of this 1107-nucleotide long non-coding RNA. RefSeq lists it as uncharacterized. NCBI's taxonomy places the organism in Eukaryota, Metazoa, Arthropoda, Insecta, Diptera, Culicidae. The transcript is spliced from 3 exons. The record is from RefSeq and is a predicted model, not a curated record.
GAGCAUUUCGUCAGAGUGAGGAGGAGAAACACACGCGUUCGUUAAGCCGUCGUCAUUCAUACAAAACUCGUGGUUUCCCGUCUAGGUACACUACAGUCAAAGGCUCCGGCCAGCGAUUGCACUUCGGGUCGGGAAAAGCGCAUUUUAUUUUGACUCGUCCGUCGUCGCGAUCGCACACGUUUUUCCGAGGUGGUUCCGUGGUUUGCCUUUCUUCCGCCCGCGGGGAACCGGAACAGCUCCGGAAUUUGUUUUCAUUCGAGUGCCGUGUUUACAGUCAAUUUGUUAUUGUGCGUUGGUGUGUCUUUGGCAGAUUAUAUUGCUGAUUCGAGCAGAAAUCGGUUUGCCGCGGCCUACUUUGUUUGCUGAUUUGGGGUGUUUUUGUAUUUCUUUUGUUUAUUGCUCCACGUUCUCUCUUCUGGUGAACUUGAUCGCGAAUCGCGUGGAUUCAUAAAGCUUGUGGAAGUUGGCGCGUGAUCGAAGUAUCGCGCGCACAGGCAAGAAGGAAAAAAGCAGUGAAGAUCUGAGCGAAAAGCCGAGUGUACUGCCUUUUUUUAAAUCGCCCGCCUGAAGAUAGUUUUGACAAAUGGUGAUUAAUUGAGCGGUCGCUCUACUGAUUAAAGUGCAAGGAGGUGUGCGAGUGUAGGUAUUUCAUUCCGUUCGGAAAUUAUCGAUGCGCAACUAAAGGUUUUGUCACCAACGGAAAACAGCAGGUGGGGCAACCGAGUGUAAAAACGGGUGGGUAAGCGAGCGAGCGCGACACCCCGAAGAAAGCCGAUCACGCGAGACGAAGUGAUUUCUCGCUCGAACGAACCCGAUCGAUUGUUAUCGCAUCACGCGCCAAAGCGCCGAGCCGAUGUGAUGUGAGUGAGUGUUGUUCACAAGUGUGACGAAGCGAUACAAUCAAAGCAGGCGUGAAAAACGAGCUAUACGGAUAUUGGGUUACUCUUCCGAAGAUUUCAACGAACUUCGACUAAGGACCACAUCAUCAACGACUUCAACCAAAAGUAAAUCACCGAAAAUGGAUAUCGGUUGGAGAAAAUAACAUCGAACGAUAUUCCAGAACCAUGGAUGUACCGCCCAAGUCCCGUUACACGGACACCUCGUACA